This 80-nucleotide microRNA precursor is filed under the name Bombyx mori (domestic silkworm). RNAcentral describes it as "mir-2807 microRNA precursor family". It matches the Rfam family "mir-2807 microRNA precursor family". Lineage: Eukaryota; Metazoa; Arthropoda; Insecta; Lepidoptera; Bombycidae. The record is from Rfam by way of RNAcentral.
UGAAAUUAAUUUGUAUAUAGUUGGAACGUUUGCCUACGUUUGCCGCCAGGGGCGCUGUUCCAACUGGAUACUUUGAGCUA